This is a regulatory RNA element of 67 nucleotides. It matches the Rfam family "Actino-pnp RNA". The record is from Rfam.
ACCGGUCUUCGGUAGUGGCUGCCGGGUCCCCGUCAGGGCGGGCCGGCCGCUUCGAUCGACGGCCGCA